RNAcentral lists this ribosomal RNA (457 nucleotides) under uncultured bacterium. Its description in RNAcentral is "bacterial SSU rRNA". It matches the Rfam family "Bacterial small subunit ribosomal RNA", at positions 337 to 791 of the family's 1533-position model. The record is from RNAcentral.
UCCUACGGGGGGCAGCAGUGAGGAAUAUUGGUCAAUGGGCGUAAGCCUGAACCAGCCAUCCCGCGUGCAGGAAGAAGGCGCUAUGCGUUGUAAACUGCUUUUCCAGGGAAAGAAAACCCCCGACGUGUCGGGGCUUGCCGGUACCCUGGGAAUAAGCAUCGGCUAACUCCGUGCCAGCAGCCGCGGUAAUACGGAGGAUGCGAGCGUUAUCCGGAUUUAUUGGGUUUAAAGGGUGCGUAGGCGGGUUAAUAAGUCAGUGGUGAAAACCUUCAGCUUAACUGGAGACUUGCCAUUGAUACUGUUAGUCUUGAGUACGGUCAAGGUAGGCGGAAUGUGUAAUGUAGCGGUGAAAUGCUUAGAUAUUACACAGAACACCGAUUGCGAAGGCAGCUUACUGGACCAAUACUGACGCUGAUGCACGAAAGCGUGGGGAGCGAACAGGAUUAGAUACCCUGGU